RNAcentral lists this ribosomal RNA (253 nucleotides) under uncultured bacterium. RNAcentral's name for it is "partial 16S ribosomal RNA". It matches the Rfam family "Bacterial small subunit ribosomal RNA", at positions 524 to 776 of the family's 1533-position model. The record is from RNAcentral.
UACAGAGGGGGCAAGCGUUGUUCGGAAUUACUGGGCGUAAAGGGCGCGUAGGCGGCCUGCUAAGUCGAACGUGAAAUCCCUGGGCUCAACCCAGGAACUGCGUCCGAUACUGGUUGGCUUGAAUCCGGAAGAGGCGAGUGGAAUUCCUGGUGUAGCGGUGAAAUGCGCAGAUAUCAGGAGGAACACCGAUGGCGAAGGCAGCUCGCUGGGACGGUACUGACGCUGAGGCGCGAAAGCGUGGGGAGCAAACAGG